UGAUGGGUUAUUGCUUAUUUAGACUUAUAAACUUUGAAAUUUGGCUUUGCAAGAACACCUACGACAUAUAAAAGACUCACGACAGAAAACAUACUUGUUGCAAAGGCAAUUUUCCGAGUUUAAGGGCGUAAUAGGUGAAAACCCAUCAUCCCUUGCGCGCUCAGAGUUUAAGUUUAGGGUUUUGGAAGGACAACCUUAAUUGAAUUUUAAUUGGCUCGUGCCGCUCUUUUUGUUUUUAAAGACCUUGAACCGAUGAGAUAUCAAUCAUGCAAAGAUAUAUUGACGAGCCCAAGGUAAAAUAUAUACAUAUAUACUUACACAACAUGCGGC
Molecule: non-coding RNA, 330 nt
Organism: Paramuricea clavata
Lineage: Eukaryota; Metazoa; Cnidaria; Anthozoa; Malacalcyonacea; Plexauridae
Source: the annotation of a GenBank genome assembly